RNAcentral lists this ribosomal RNA (252 nucleotides) under uncultured bacterium. Its description in RNAcentral is "partial 16S ribosomal RNA". It matches the Rfam family "Bacterial small subunit ribosomal RNA", at positions 524 to 776 of the family's 1533-position model. The record is from RNAcentral.
UACGGGGGGGCAAGCGUUGUUCGGAAUCAUUGGGCGUAAAGCGCGCGUAGGCGGCCCGGUAAGUCCGUUGUGAAAGUCAAAGGCUCAACCUUUGAACGCCGAUGGAUACUGCCGGGCUAGAGUCCGGAAGAGGCGAGUGGAAUUCCUGGUGUAGCGGUGGAAUGCGCAGAUAUCAGGAGGAACACCAAUAGCGAAGGCAGCUCGCUGGGACGGUACUGACGCUGAGGCGCGAAAGCGUGGGGAGCGAACAGG